GACGAAGGAUGCAAGCGUUAUCCGGAUUCAUUGGGUUUAAAGGGUGCGUAGGCGGACUGAUAAGUCAGUGGUGAAAUCUCUCAGCUUAACUGAGAAACUGCCAUUGAUACUGUUAGUCUAGAGUACAGAUGAUGUGGGCGAAAUAUGACAUGUAGCGGUGAAAUGCUUAGAUAUGUCAUAGAACACCGAUUGCGAAGGCAGCUCACAAAACUGCAACUGACGCUGAGGCACGAAAGUGCGGGGAUCAAACAGG
RNAcentral lists this ribosomal RNA (253 nucleotides) under uncultured bacterium. RNAcentral describes it as "partial 16S ribosomal RNA". It matches the Rfam family "Bacterial small subunit ribosomal RNA", at positions 524 to 776 of the family's 1533-position model. The record is from RNAcentral.